CCCUUAGAUGUUCUGGGCCGCACGCGCGCUACACUGAUGCACUCAACGAGUCUCACCUUGACCGAAAGGUCCGGGAAAUCUUCGAACUUGCAUCGUGAUGGGGAUAGAUUAUUGCAAUUAUUAGUCUUGAACGAGGAAUUCCUAGUAAGCACAAGUCAUCAGCUUGUGUUGAUUACGUCCCUGCCCUUUGUACACACCGCCCGUCGCUCCUACCGAUUGAAUGUUCCGGUGAAUACUUCGGACUGCGAGGUCUGCAGUUUCUGCGUUCCUUGCGGAAAGUUGAAUAAACCUUAACAUUUAGAGGAAGGAGAANUCGUANCA
This 321-nucleotide ribosomal RNA is filed under the name uncultured eukaryote. RNAcentral describes it as "partial 18S ribosomal RNA". It matches the Rfam family "Eukaryotic small subunit ribosomal RNA", at positions 1470 to 1796 of the family's 1831-position model. The record is from RNAcentral.